RNAcentral lists this long non-coding RNA (931 nucleotides) under Nicotiana benthamiana. RNAcentral's name for it is "long non-coding RNA (NBEN_LNC032745)". Lineage: Eukaryota; Viridiplantae; Streptophyta; Magnoliopsida; Solanales; Solanaceae. The record is from RNAcentral.
UCUGGGGUUGGUCGGAAUUCUCUUCCGAACCUCGUGGUGGUCUCGGAUUUUGCACAAGACCACCAAAAAAGGUAGUUUAUGUACGGACAACCUCUUAAGUCACUGGAAAAUUGCACGGCGACGAGGUCUUACUUCCUGGAAUUAGCUGGAAUGACGCACAACUAUAAUAUUCUGACCAAAGCUCUGAUACCAUGUGAGAAAGCACGGGAGAAAAAAUAUAACUUGAUAUUAACCAUGAUACAAUGAGCCCUAUAUAUAAUACACAUAACCUAACCUACUCCUAAUACACUUUGGACUAGAGUUCUACUAUAUUUACAUAUCAAAAUAUAACUUGAUAUUAACCAUGAUACAAUGAGCCCUAUAUAUAAUACACAUAACCUAACCUACUCCUAAUACACUUUGGACUAAAGUUCUACUAUAUUUACAUAUCUAACCGUUAGUUUGCUGAUUCCACCUUCAGUUGAGGCUGGUACUUUUCGGCUCUAGAUCUUUUUGGCUUGAUAACCUUGGUGUUCGAGUGUCAUUGAGCGUUGUUUUAUUGAGAGAUUUUCAUGGUGCCUAUACUGUUACUACAAAAACUGACUUGUGAACGUGUUCAAAGAAUCAUCUGAAACUUCCAUAAGGACGAUCUUCCUGGGUUUUGACCAUCAGUGGACCAGGCCGGCUAUUGGCCUCUAUGCCUGUGUAGAUGCAUUGUAGCAUGACUUUGUUUCUUUAGUUCUUUCCUAGAGGUUUCAGUUCUUGGUCCCCGCAGUUCUGUCUAAGUUCUUUCUCCACUCAGUCGGUGUUCCCUUUUAUAUAUACUAGCUUUGUCCUUGUUAUAAUGUUGUCAUUGCCCUGGAAUUUUAGCAGUCAUAAAGUAAAUGCCAGGUUCUUUAGAUUUCAUCAUGAAUAGUUUAAAUUUCAUAUACCAUGCACCCCCUGCCGUGAC